RNAcentral lists this ribosomal RNA (493 nucleotides) under uncultured bacterium. RNAcentral describes it as "bacterial SSU rRNA". It matches the Rfam family "Bacterial small subunit ribosomal RNA", at positions 17 to 518 of the family's 1533-position model. The record is from RNAcentral.
UCCUGGCUUAGGAUGAACGCUGGCGGCGUGCUUAACACAUGCAAGUCGAACGAAGCAGCUUCUGCUGCAAGAAGCUGACGUAGUGGCGGACGGGUGAGUAACGCGUGGGUAACCUGCCUCAUACAGGGGGAUAACGAGUUGGAAACGACUGCUAAGACCGCAUAACCCGCUAGUGUCGCAUGACUACGGACGGAAAAUAUUUAUAGGUAUGAGAGUGGGCCCGCGUCUGAUUAGCUAGUUGGUAAGGUAACGGCUUACCAAGGCGACGAUCAGUAGCCGACUUGAGAGAGUGACUCGGCCACAUUGGGACUGAGACACGGCCCAAACUCCUACGGGAGGCAGCAGUGGGGAAUAUUGGACAAUGGGGGAAACCCUGAUCCAGCGAACCGCCGCGUGAGUGAAGAAGUAUUUCGGUAUGUAAAGCUCUAUCAGCAGGGAAGAUAAUGACAGUACCUGACUAAGAAGCCCCGGCUAACUACGUGCCAGCCGCAGC